UUGAUCCUGGCUCAGGAUGAACGCUAGCGGCAGGCUUAACACAUGCAAGUCGAGGGGUAUAGUUCUUCGGAAUUAGAGACCGGCGCACGGGUGCGUAACGCGUAUGCAAUCUACCUUUUACAGAGGGAUAGCCCAGAGAAAUUUGGAUUAAUACCUCAUAGUAUAAUGACUUGGCAUCAAGACAUUAUUAAAGUCACAACGGUAAAAGAUGAGCAUGCGUCCCAUUAGCUAGUUGGUAAGGUAACGGCUUACCAAGGCUACGAUGGGUAGGGGUCCUGAGAGGGAGAUCCCCCACACUGGUACUGAGACACGGACCAGACUCCUACGGGAGGCAGCAGUGAGGAAUAUUGGACAAUGGGCGCAAGCCUGAUCCAGCCAUGCCGCGUGCAGGAUGACGGUCCUAUGGAUUGUAAACUGCUUUUAUACGAGAAGAAACACUACUUCGUGAAGUAGCUUGACGGUAUCGUAAGAAU
This 473-nucleotide ribosomal RNA is filed under the name Flavobacterium sp. DB3.2-3. Its description in RNAcentral is "bacterial SSU rRNA". It matches the Rfam family "Bacterial small subunit ribosomal RNA", at positions 13 to 487 of the family's 1533-position model. Lineage: Bacteria; Pseudomonadati; Bacteroidota; Flavobacteriia; Flavobacteriales; Flavobacteriaceae. The record is from RNAcentral.